UUUAAUUAGUCAAUGAGUAAUAUCCGUUAAUUAUCCGUUAUUAUUUCUUUCGUCCCAAACCUCUGGAGACUCUUUUGACUUAUGAUAACCUUUCUUGCCCUGACUGAUGGUACAUACAUAAGUCAAUUUAGCUUUUGUUAUCUUCGGUGAGAAUUAAAAGGACAAAAAAAAAACGCUCCAAAACCUAUUUACUAGGGUACAUUUUUUACCAAAUCUUAAAUUCAACGCAAGAUCAUGUGUUUACGGUUUACCCACCAAGCAACCGCUGAACACGAGAUUGUCACAAACGUAAUGAUAAUCGUCCAACCUCUCCAGCCCAUAGAGUCCGUGUGGUUUUCGCCGUGUGUUGUGAAGUGAUACGGUGCCGAUACACGGUGGAUAGCCACAACAUCGUCGACAUAGACAUUAGGUUGAAAAAUUCGACAUCUUCUGAUAUUUAAUAUGACGAUUAAAAAAAAAGAAAUAAGUCUAUUUAUCCUUGGAAUUAUUAAUGACGCUUUUUAAUUUAUUUUUCAAACUAAUAAAACUAUGAAUAAUAGCAUCAGAAAUCAUA
RNAcentral lists this small RNA (553 nucleotides) under Arabidopsis thaliana (thale cress). Its description in RNAcentral is "ATSL231210". Lineage: Eukaryota; Viridiplantae; Streptophyta; Magnoliopsida; Brassicales; Brassicaceae. The record is from RNAcentral.